UUACGGUCAAAUCACGCUGAUACACCGGUUCUCGUUCGAUCACUGAAGUUAAGCAUCGUAGAGCCAGGUCAGUACUUAGAUGGGAGACCGCUUGGGAACACCUGGUACUGUAAGC
RNAcentral lists this ribosomal RNA (115 nucleotides) under Acanthosepion pharaonis. Lineage: Eukaryota; Metazoa; Mollusca; Cephalopoda; Sepiida; Sepiidae. The record is from RNAcentral.